UGGCGGACGGGUGAGUAAUGUCUGGGAAACUGCCCGAUGAGGGGGAGUAACUACUGGAAACGGUAGCUAAUACCGCAUAACGUCGCAAGACCAAAGAGGGGGACCUUCGGGCCUCUUGCCAUCGGAUGUGCCCAGAUGGGAUUAGCUAGUAGGUGGGGUAAAGGCUCACCUAGGCGACGAUCCCUAGCUGGUCUGAGAGGAUGACCAGCCACACUGGAACUGAGACACGGUCCAG
Molecule: ribosomal RNA, 235 nt
Filed under: uncultured bacterium
Lineage: Bacteria
Description: partial 16S ribosomal RNA
Rfam family: Bacterial small subunit ribosomal RNA
Source: RNAcentral